Molecule: ribosomal RNA, 563 nt
Rfam family: Eukaryotic large subunit ribosomal RNA
CUUUGAAAAGAGAGUUAAAUAGUACGUGAAAUUGUUGAAAGGGAAGCGCUUAUGACCAGACUUGCGCCCUGUGAAUCACCCAGCGUUCUCGCUGGUGCACUUCGCUAGGCUCAGGCCAGCAUCGAUUCUUCUAGGGGGAUAAAAGUGGCGGGAACGUGGCUCUUCCGGGAGUGUUAUAGCCCGCUACAGAAUACCCUUGGAGGGAUCGAGGACCGCGCUUCGGCAAGGAUGCUGGCGUAAUGGUCAUCAGCGACCCGUCUUGAAACACGGACCAAGGAGUCAAGCAUUAGGGCGAGUGUUUGGGUGUUAAACCCGCACGCGUAAUGAAAGUGAAUGUAGGUGAGAGCUUCGGCGCAUCAUCGACCGAUCCUGAUGUAUUCGGAUGGAUUUGAGUAAGAGCCUUACCGCUUGGACCCGAAAGAUGGUGAACUAUGCUUGGAUAGGGUGAAGCCAGAGGAAACUCUGGUGGAGGCUCGCAGCGGUUCUGACGUGCAAAUCGAUCGUCAAAUCUGAGCAUGGGGGCGAAAGACUAAUCGAACCAUCUAGUAGCUGGUUACCGCCGA